This 253-nucleotide ribosomal RNA is filed under the name uncultured Bifidobacterium sp. Its description in RNAcentral is "partial 16S ribosomal RNA". It matches the Rfam family "Bacterial small subunit ribosomal RNA", at positions 524 to 776 of the family's 1533-position model. Lineage: Bacteria; Bacillati; Actinomycetota; Actinomycetes; Bifidobacteriales; Bifidobacteriaceae. The record is from RNAcentral.
UACGGAGGAUGCGAGCGUUAUCCGGAUUUAUUGGGCGUAAAGGGCUCGUAGGCGGUUCGUCGCGUCCGGUGUGAAAGUCCAUCGCUUAACGGUGGAUCCGCGCCGGGUACGGGCGGGCUUGAGUGCGGUAGGGGAGACUGGAAUUCCCGGUGUAACGGUGGAAUGCGUAGAUAUAUGGAAGAACACCAGUGGCGAAAGCGGCUCUCUGGUCUGUAACUGACGCUGAGGUUCGAAAGCGUGGGUAGCAAACAGG